This 45-nucleotide non-coding RNA is filed under the name Trichobilharzia regenti. Lineage: Eukaryota; Metazoa; Platyhelminthes; Trematoda; Strigeidida; Schistosomatidae. The record is from RNAcentral.
AUCCAACUGACGAAUCCCAAAUAAGACGAAAUGCGCAUCCUGGAU